This 1457-nucleotide ribosomal RNA is filed under the name Saccharum spontaneum (wild sugarcane). RNAcentral describes it as "bacterial SSU rRNA". It matches the Rfam family "Bacterial small subunit ribosomal RNA". Lineage: Eukaryota; Viridiplantae; Streptophyta; Magnoliopsida; Poales; Poaceae. The record is from RNAcentral.
AGAGUUCGAUCCUGCUCAGGAUGACGCUGGGCAUCUUAACACAUGCACUUUCGAACGGGAUUGGUGUUGCCAUUGGCGAACGUGAGUACGCGUCAGAACCUGCCCUUGGAGGGGAACACAACUGUAAACGGUUUGCUAAUACCGCCGUAGGCUGAUGAGCAAAGGAGAAUCCGCCCAAGGAGGGGCCGCGUCUGAUUAGCUAGUUUGGUGAGGCAAGCUUACCAGGCGAUGAUCAGUAGCUGUCCGCGAGAUGAUCCCGCCACCGGGACUGAGACCACGGCCCAGACUCCUACGGGAGGCAGCCGUGUGGGAAUUUUCCGGCAAUGGGCGAAGCCACGGACAAUGCUCGCGUGGAGUGGAAGCCCUACGGGUCGUCAACUUCUUUUCUCGGAGAAGAACAAUGACGGUAUCUGAGGAAUAAGCCAUCGGCUAACUCUGUGCCAGCAAGCCGCGUAAGACAGAGAUGCAACUUAUCCCGGAAUGAUUGGGCAUCAAGCGUCUGUAGGUGGCUGUUUCAAGUCCUCUCCUGGUUUUGUCAAAUCCGGGCUCAACCCUGACAAGGCGGUGGAAACACCAAGAGCUGGGUACGGUAGGGGCAGAGGGAAUUUCGUUGGAGCGGUGAAAUGCUUGGAUCGGAAAGAACCACCAACGGCGAAAGCACUCGCUGGGGGCCGACACUGACACUGAGAGCGGAAAGCUAGGGAGCAAAUGGGAUUAGAUGCCCCAUUAGUCCCUAGCCUAACGAUGGAUACUAGUGCUGGUGCGACCGACCCGUGCAGUGCUGUAGCUAAGCCGUUAAGUAAUCCCGCCUGGGGAGUACGUUCUCAAGAAUGAACUCAAAGUAAUUACGGGGGGCCCGCACAAGCGGUGGAGCAUGAGGUUUAAUUCGAUGCAAAGCGAAGACCUUACCCAGGGCUUGACAUGCCGCGAAUCCCUCUGAAAGAGAGGGGUGCCCUCCGGGAACGCGGACACGGUGGUGUGCAUGGCUUUCGUCAGCUCGUGGCGUAAGGUGUUUUGGUUAAGUCUCGCAACGAGCGCAACCCUCGUGUUCAGUUGCCACUAUGAGUUGGAACCCUGAACAGACCCCGCCGGUGUUAGCCGGAGAGGCUGUAUGAGGCCAAGUCUCAUGCCCCUUAAGGCCCUGGUCGAGACACACACUUCGACCAUGGGGCCGGGACAAAGGUUCGCGAUCUCGCGAGGGGUGAGUAACUCCAAAAACCGUCUCCUUUCGGAUUUGCAGAGGCCGCAACUCGCCUGCAUGAAGCAGGAAUCGCUAUAUCUCCGUUCCACCAUACGGCGUUGAAUCCGUUUCCCGGGCCUUGUACACACCGCCGUCACCUAUAGGAGCUGGCCAUGUUGAAGUCCUUACCCUUACCGUAAGGAGGGGGAUGCCGAAGGCUAGGCUUGCGACUGGAGUGAAGUUCGUAACAAGGUAUGCCGUACUGGAAGGUCGGCUG